CUAUGGGUGCAGGCUUUGGGCCUACGUGCACAGGCCUGGCCGGAGGGCGGAGGGGGGAGGGAGGUUGGGGUGGCUGGGCUGUCUGUGCCUCCCCCCUCCCUUUGCCCAGCUACUUACUGGGUAGAUCAGGGCCUUAACGAAAACCAGGACACGAAACAGAACAAGCAAGGGGAGAGAACAAUCUCACCACCUGAUAUCUCAAGCAUGCCACCACAGAAGUGCCUGGAUCUUAUUGCAUCAGGUAAGUUCUGGAUCCAUGACACAAUCAGGGCUAUUGAUGUGUUUUCCUGUCAAUAGAUGGGAACAGCUUCAUUGAUGGAAGAGGGCAGACUGGCAAUAAAUAUUGCAUGACAUCAUGCAAAAGGGACAGUCAUAAAAUGUGACAGUCCUGUUUUUAUGUUGGUUUGCCACGUCCAUGCAAUAAAGCAGAGGUUCUCAAACUAAGACCCGUGGACCUAAUGCGCCCCUCCAAGGUCAUUUACCUGGCCCCUGUCCUAAACUUUAGAUUUAGGUUUGACCUAAGUCUGAAACAACUUGAAGGCACACAACAACAACAACAAUCCUAAUUUUGGACUAUUUCAUCAUAGUCUGCCCCCCCCAACAGUCUGAGGGACCACGAACCAGCCCUCCACUUAAAAAGUUUGAGGACCCCUGCAAUAAAGUCCUGACAUCUCAGUACUUAAACAGAUGGGAUCUGUUCAACUUAUUUUUUUUUUACACAUGCACAAAGAGAGAGAAGUGGGAAAGGAGAGGAAUCUUCUCUCUCUCUUUUUCUCAGCCCUGGAAUGAGGUAAUUUAUAGAGAAAAUUAAGAAGCCAUACCAUUAAAAACACAAAAAAUUUAAACUACACUUGAACUAUCCAUACAAAUCAGAGCAAUUUAAAUAUAUGCCCACUGACAAAAAUAGACAAUACAAGCCCAUUGUUAAAAGCUCUUAUUCCUAAAACACUUUGCUUUUCUCCUGGUUGCAGAAAUGCAGCUGGAUUCUUCUUGUCACCCUUUACUAAAUAACCGUGAAGGUGUGUGCUAGUAUUAUGGAUGUGUAUUGCAAGGGCCUCUUUAAGAGAGAUAAAUUAG
Molecule: long non-coding RNA, 1077 nt
Filed under: Anolis carolinensis (green anole)
Lineage: Eukaryota; Metazoa; Chordata; Lepidosauria; Squamata; Anolidae
Description: lncRNA (ENSACAG00000038760.1)
Source: RNAcentral